AUCCAACUGACGAAUCCAAAAUAGGACUAAGCAUGCGUCCUGGAU
Non-coding RNA from Schistosoma margrebowiei, 45 nucleotides. NCBI's taxonomy places the organism in Eukaryota, Metazoa, Platyhelminthes, Trematoda, Strigeidida, Schistosomatidae. The record is from Rfam.